UAGUUAAUAGCUGCAUUAUUUGACGUUAGCGACAGAAGAAGCACCGGCUAACUCCGUGCCAGCAGCCGCGGUAAUACGGAGGGUGCGAGCGUUAAUCGGAAUUACUGGGCGUAAAGCGCAUGCAGGUGGUUUGUUAAGUCAGAUGUGAAAGCCCGGGGCUCAACCUCGGAAUAGCAUUUGAAACUGGCAGACUAGAGUACUGUAGAGGGGGGUAGAAUUUCAGGUGUAGCGGUGAAAUGCGUAGAGAUCUGAAGGAAUACCGGUGGCGAAGGCGGCCCCCUGGACAGAUACUGACACUCAGAUGCGAAAGCGUGGGGAGCAAACAGGAUUAGAUACCCUGGUAGUCCACGCCGUAAACGAUGUCUACUUGGAGGUUGUGGCCUUGAGCCGUGGCUUUCGGAGCUAACGCGUUAAGUAGACCGCCUGGGGAGUACGGUCGCAAGAUUAAAACUCAAAUGAAUUGACGGGGGCCCGCACAAGCGGUGGAGCAUGUGGUUUAAUUSGAUGCAACGCGAAGAACCUUACCUACUCUUGACAUCCAGAGAACUUUCCAGAGAUGGAUUGGUGCCUUCGGGAACUCUGAGACAGGUGCUGCAUGGCUGUCGUCAGCUCGUGUUGUGAAAUGUUGGGUUAAGUCCCGCAACGAGCGCAACCCUUAUCCUUGUUUGCCAGCGAGUAAUGUCGGGAACUCCAGGGAGACUGCCGGUGAUAAACCGGAGGAAGGUGGGGACGACGUCAAGUCAUCAUGGCCCUUACGAGUAGGGCUACACACGUGCUACAAUGGCGCAUACAGAGGGCGGCCAACUUGCGAAAGUGAGCGAAUCCCAAAAAGUGCGUCGUAGUCCGGAUUGGAGUCUGCAACUCGACUCCAUGAAGUCGGAAUCGCUAGUAAUCGUGGAUCAGAAUGCCACGGUGAAUACGUUCCCGGGCCUUGUACACACCGCCCGUCACACCAUGGGAGUGGGCUGCAAAAGAAGUAGGUAGWUUAACCUUCGGGGGGACGCUUACCACUUUGUGGUUCAUGACUGGGGUGAAGUCGUAACAAGGUUAACCGUAAA
This 1058-nucleotide ribosomal RNA is filed under the name Vibrio sp. Its description in RNAcentral is "bacterial SSU rRNA". Lineage: Bacteria; Pseudomonadati; Pseudomonadota; Gammaproteobacteria; Vibrionales; Vibrionaceae. The record is from RNAcentral.